UUUAUGGAGAGUUUGAUCCUGGCUCAGGAUGAACGCUGGCGGCGUGCCUAAUACAUGCAAGUCGAGCGAACGGACGAGAAGCUUGCUUCUCUGAUGUUAGCGGCGGACGGGUGAGUAACACGUGGAUAACCUACCUAUAAGACUGGGAUAACUUCGGGAAACCGGAGCUAAUACCGGAUAAUAUUAUGAACCGCAUGGUUCAAAAGUGAAAGACGGUCUUGCUGUCACUUAUAGAUGGAUCCGCGCUGCAUUAGCUAGUUGGUAAGGUAACGGCUUACCAAGGCAACGAUGCAUAGCCGACCUGAGAGGGUGAUCGGCCACACUGGAACUGAGACACGGUCCAGACUCCUACGGGAGGCAGCAGUAGGGAAUCUU
Molecule: ribosomal RNA, 375 nt
Filed under: Staphylococcus aureus
Lineage: Bacteria; Bacillati; Bacillota; Bacilli; Caryophanales; Staphylococcaceae
Description: bacterial SSU rRNA
Rfam family: Bacterial small subunit ribosomal RNA
Source: RNAcentral